UACGGGGGGAGCAAGCGUUGUUCGGAUUUACUGGGCGUAAAGGGCGCGUAGGCGGUCGUGACAAGUCACUUGUGAAAUCUCCGGGCUUAACUCGGAACGGUCAAGUGAUACUGUCGGACUAGAGUACAGAAGGGGCAACUGGAAUUCUCGGUGUAGCGGUGAAAUGCGUAGAUAUCGGGAGGAACACCAGUGGCGAAGGCGGCUCUCUGGGCAAUGACCGACGCUGAGGCGCGAAGGCGUGGGAAGCAAACAGG
RNAcentral lists this ribosomal RNA (254 nucleotides) under uncultured bacterium. RNAcentral describes it as "partial 16S ribosomal RNA". It matches the Rfam family "Bacterial small subunit ribosomal RNA", at positions 524 to 776 of the family's 1533-position model. The record is from RNAcentral.